AGAGAGAGAGAGAGAGAGAGAGAGAUGCAAGAGACCCAUUUAUUGUUUAAAUGAUUUAAUUUUAGUUCGCUCGGUUAAGACUUAAUAUUCUUGUUACUACUAUAUUAUAUAAUAGAUGCUUGCGUUGGAAUUAAUAAUUGCACUUUCUCUUUGAUUCCUUAAUACGAAGAGUUUCUUUCUGCUGCUUUAUAUACGCAAUGUCUUGCGUACUUGAGGCUUCUGGUUGAUGAAUCGGCGCUCAUCCAUUCCAUAUCGAGAUUUGGCUUAACUUUGAUUCAUGUCGGCAAGAACUUUGAGGAGGAGACUUCAUCAUGGGGAUGUUGAUGGAAAAAGGGAAGAGCAUUUUGACACAUCAGGUUAUGAUGGCUUGAGUGAACCUCUGCUUGGGACUCAUGAACACGAUGAUAUGGCAGCAGGACUCACAUUUGAAGAUAUUUGGAAUGCUGAACACAGGAGGGAACGCCUCCAGUGGAUGUUGAUCUUAUCACAGUUGGUUGUACAGUGGGCUCAAUGGUUAGCAAAUGUUGUCCUAGGUUCUGGAUCACUUAUUGGACGAUUUUUGCCUUUUGCUGGUCAAAGCGGAUCAAGCAGGAACCUUCUUCAUCCUUAUCUUAGUCCUUUACAGGAAGAAAGACUCAGAAAUCUACAGCAAAGGCUGGGAGUAUGCUUUGAUGGUUCUCGAGCUGAGCAUCAAGAUGCACUUAAACAAUUGUGG
This 715-nucleotide unclassified non-coding RNA is filed under the name Hevea brasiliensis (rubber tree). Lineage: Eukaryota; Viridiplantae; Streptophyta; Magnoliopsida; Malpighiales; Euphorbiaceae. The record is from RNAcentral.